GAUGAACGCUGGCGGCGUGCCUAAUACAUGCAAGUCGAGCGAACAGACGAGGAGCUUGCUCCCCUGAUGUUAGCGGCGGACGGGUGAGUAACACGUGGAUAACCUACCUAUAAGACUGGGAUAACUUCGGGAAACCGGAGCUAAUACCGGAUAACAUGUUGAACCGCAUGGUUCAACAGUGAAAGACGGUCUUGCUGUCACUUAUAGAUGGAUCCGCGCCGCAUUAGCUAGUUGGUAAGGUAACGGCUUACCAAGGCAACGAUGCGUAGCCGACCUGAGAGGGUGAUCGGCCACACUGGAACUGAGACACGGUCCAGACUCCUACGGGAGGCAGCAGUAGGGAAUCUUGCGCAAUGGGCGAAAGCCUGACGGAGCAACGCCGCGUGAGUGAAGAAGGUCUUCGGAUCGUAAAACUCUGUUAUUAGGGAAGAACAAAUGUGUAAGUAACUAUGCACGUCUUGACGGUACCUAAUCAGAAAGCCACGGCUAACUACGUG
Molecule: ribosomal RNA, 497 nt
Filed under: uncultured bacterium
Lineage: Bacteria
Description: partial 16S ribosomal RNA
Rfam family: Bacterial small subunit ribosomal RNA
Source: RNAcentral